RNAcentral lists this long non-coding RNA (4809 nucleotides) under Mus musculus (house mouse). Its description in RNAcentral is "predicted gene, 35439". Lineage: Eukaryota; Metazoa; Chordata; Mammalia; Rodentia; Muridae. The record is from RNAcentral.
AUUUUACACCUGCACAUUCACAGAAGAGACAAAUUCCACACAAAAUAGAGACACACACAGAGACAGAAGAAAACCAACUGACACUCAGCAUCUUGAAAAGGAAGAAAACAAAUAUUCCAGCUAGCAGUGCAGAACUCUGCUUGAUCUCUUGCCAGAAAAUAGAAGUCAGUUUAACUUAUGUUGCUGAUGACUAGAAAGUCCAAGAUGGAGGAAGUACACCUGAACGACCAUUUGUGCUGUACUAUGACAUGGUAGAAAGCAUCAUAUGGAAUUGGUGUAUAUUGCAACCUAGCCAACAUUUGAAGGUGUCUUGUCCUCAUCUCAUGUGCCCCCUAGCAACGAUAUUAUCAACAAGAACUUCAUUUUCUUUAUAACCAAUAUGCUCAAGUCCAGAGACAUGAUCUGAAGAAAUUCUGAAGCAGCAGUGCUUUCUAAUGACUUCUAGGCAAUUCCAUUAUUUGCAUUGGUCAUUUUGUAGCCACUGCUGUCACAUCUUCCUGCUGAGUGUUUGCUUAAUCCGAGUGAAGAUACCUUUGGAGAGGGAAGCACGGACUUCAUUAUGGAUCAGUGAUACAUUGAGUCUGCAGGGGAGAAAUGGAAAACAGAGGCUCCUUAAGUUAAAUCCAUGUGAACACCAAAAACCACAAAUAUAUUUGGAUAUGUGUCACAUCCACCUCAUCAAAUGCUGUGUAAUACAGAUGGAAGAUAUCACCCAGACAUCUAUAAUUUUAUCCAAAAAUGACACUAUAAAUGGAACUAGCGGCCCAGGAUACAGAUACAGUUAUGUAGCACCAACUCAUAGACAGAAAACUAAGGAUUUCCUUAACUAUCCCCAACAUAAAUAAUAAUAUCUUGGUGACUGUUACCUAAAUAAAAAAGUUACAGUAGAAAAUCAUUGUGUUUGGAGCUGUGACGAAAGGACGGACCAUCUAGAGACUGCCAUAUCCAGGGAUCCACCCCAUAAUCAGCUUCCAAAUGCUGACACCAUUGCAUACACUAGCAAGAUUUUGCUGAAAGGACCCAGAUAUAGCUGUCUCUUGUGAGACUAUGCUGGGGCCUAGCAAACACAGAAGUGGAUGCUCACAGUCAGCUAGUGGAUGGAUCACAGGGCCCCCAAUGGAGGAGCUAGAGAAAGUAUCCAAGGAGCUAAAGAGAUCUGCAACCCUAUCGGUGGAACAACAUUAUGAACUAACCAGUACCCCGGAGCUCUUGACUCUAGCUGCAUAUGUAUCAAAAGAUGGCCUAGUCGGCCAUCACUGGGAAGAGAGGCCCAUUGGACACGCAAACUUUAUAUGCCCCAGUACAGAGGAACGCCAGGGCCAAAAAGUGGGAGUGGGUGGGUAGGGGAAAAUAGAUUAUCUUUUCAUACAGUAUAUCCUGAUUAUAGUUUCUUCUCCCUCUACUCCUCUCAGUACCUUGCCACCUUUCCUUCCCUCCAAAUAUAACCCCUUUCUGUCUUUUACUAGAAAAUAACAGGUUUCUAAGAGAUAACAACCAAACAUGACAAAAUAAAAUACAAUAUGAUGAAGCAAAAAUUGUUAUAUUGAAAUUGGGCAUGGCUACCCAACAUGAGGAGAAAAGUACCAAGAGUAGGUACAAGCAUCAGAGAAAUACUCGUUAUUAUCAUCAGGAGUACCAUAAAAAUACUAAUCUAAUAGCUAUAAUAUAUAUGCAGAGAAUCUGGUACAGUCACAUAUAGGCCUGUGCUUUCUGCUUCAAUCUCUGUGACCUCCUAUGUCCUUUGCUUAGUUGAUCUAAGUGGCAUUGCAGAAAAGCUUCGUUUGACAGUGGGAAACAGUCAAACUAGGGAAUCAUAACUUACUAAGGUUCUGAAAAUGAGUUAUUGUUAAGUGCUUGGCUCCAAAAGAUACAUGUAUGACAUAUCCCCUGCAACCCAUGGAACAUAGCAGAAGAGAGGAUGGAUGGAUGGACAGUGAGAAUCAAAGGACAUAUUGAGAUGUCAUCUGGAUAUGACAUGUCUAUUGUAUCCAAGAACACACAACCACUGCAACUGCCUGAAUCAGCCCUGAACCAAAAAAUACUGUGGUGAGGGGUAUAUAAGAGUAAGAGGGUUAUUAUGGGAAAAUGAAGGGGGUUGGCAGGAAUGGGAAGAGGAGAGGAGAAGGUAAUUGAGUAUUAGUGUUAUCAAAUCACAUUUUUUUUACUUUUCUUUUUUAUUAGAUAUUUUCUUUAUUUACAUUUCAAAUGUUAUUCCCUUUCUUAUUUUCCCCUCAGAAAACCCCCUAUCACUUCCCCCCUCCACCUGCUCACCAACCCACCCACUCCAGCUUCCUGGCCCUGGCAUUCACCUAUACUGGGGAACAUUCACAGGAUGAAGGGCCGCUCUUUCCAUUGAUGACUGACUAGUCCAUUCUCUGCUACAUAUACAGCUAGAGCCAUGAGUCCCACCAUGUGUUUUCUUUGGUUGAUGGUUUAGUCCCAGGGAGGUCUGGGGGUACUGGUUAGUUCAUAUUGUUGUUCCUCCUAUGGGAAUGCAAACUCCUUCAGCUCUUUGAGUGCUUUUCCUAGCUCCUUCAUUAGGGACCCAGUGCUCUGUCCAAUGAAUGGCUGUGAGCAUCCACUUCUGUAUUUCUCAGGCACUGGCAGAGCCUCUCAGGAGACAGCUAUAUCAGGUUCUUGUUACCAAGCUCUUGUUGUCAUCCACAAUAGUGCCUGGGUUUGAUGGUUGUAUAUAGGAUGGAUACAGAGGUAUGGCAGUCUCUGGAUGAUCAUUCCUACAGUUUCUGCUCCACAUUUUGACUUUGUAACUCCUUCCAUGGGUGUUUUGUUCCCCCUUCUAAGAAGGAUCAAAGUGUCCAUACUUUGGUCUUCCUUCUUCUCGAGUUUCAUGUGUUUUAUGAAUUGUAUCUUGGGUAUUCCAAGCUUCUGGGCUAAUUUCCAUUUAUCAGUGAGUGCAUAUCAUGUGUGUUCUUUUGUGAUUGGGCUACCUCACUCAGGAUAAUAUCCUCCAGAUCCAUCCAUUUGCUAAGAAUUUCAUAAAUUAAUUGUUUUUAAUAGCUGAGUCGCACUCCAUUGUGUAAAUGUACUACAUUUUCUGUAUCCAUUCCUCUGUUGAGGGACAUCUGGGUUCUUUCCAGCUCCUGGCUAUUAUAAAUACAGAGGUAAAUAAAGUAUUCUCAACUGAGAAAUACUGAAUGGCUGAGAAGCACCUAAAGAAAUGUUAAACAUCCUUAGUCAUCAGGGAAAUGCAAUUCAAAACAACCCUGAGAUUCUACCUCACACCAGUCAGAAUAGCUAAGAUAAAAAACUCAGGUGACAGCAGAUGAUGGCUAGAAUGUAGAGAAAGAGGAACAUUCCUCCAUUGAUGGUGGGAUUGCAAGCUGGUACAACCACUCUGGAAAUCAGUUUGGCAGUUCCUCAGAAAAUUGGACAUAGUACUACCAGAGGAUCCAGAAAUACCACUCCUGGGCAUAUAACCAGAAGAUGCUCCAACAUGUAACAAGGACACAUGCUCCACUAUGUUCAAAUCACAUUUAAAGCAAGUAUGUAUGAUACUGUCAAAAUAUAUAUUAAUAUACGUUUUAGUCUGAAGGUGAGGAGAAAAAGCAACAUUCAGGGAAGAAAAGCGAACACCAUUGACAAUGAAUAUGGAUUUCUCUGAGAGUUGUGGAAAUGAGACAUAUCCUAAUGUGAAUAUGGGAUCUCUAGGGGAGAGUUGCAACUGUUCUAAUAUUAGUAACAUUCUCAAUUUUGGCAGUUCUCAUUACAUCCCAAAACACUACUAAGAAACUUGUGGGGUUUUUUCUUCUUCUUUCUCCAUUUGACAGGUUUGGUGACUCUGGUGGAGGUCCCUUGGAUAGAACUAUAAUGUGAUAAAGUAAAAACAGAAGCCACUGGAGUUGCACAAGAGCUUUGGUACAUGUCAAUUUCCUGUAAAUGAAGGUUCUGAUUAUAGUCCUAUUAAAUUGCAGGGCUUAAAAUGGGAAAGGGAGAAAAGCCUUAAGCAGUUUUCGAUUGUGCAAACAGAGUUCUUGUCUUUCUGCUGGCAUGAGGUUUCAAUUGGAUCCUAGGGUGAGGCAAUUUUCCCUGUUCUCACCUUUUGCCCAGUUUUUCUUGCUAUUCUAUCCUUUCUCUAUAGAAAAAAGAAAAAAAAAGUUCAAACCAAAAAUUACUCCCCCAAACAAACAAACAAACAAACAAACAAACAAAACACUGUAUAUGCAGAAAGACAGGCACCUAAGCUAAUUCAAUUAACAGAGGACUUCCCCCAGCCCAAGAAAGAACACAUGUCUCUAGUAAGCUGCUUGUUCACAGAGGUGAAAAAGGAGUAUUUCGAGAAAAGUCAAUCUCUUUAAUAAAUUGUUCUCUUGCCCUACAAAAAGUUAAACUUAAAAGAGAUCAGAUAUCUUAACGAAAGAUUCAAAAUUUGGAACUACUAGAAGAAAAAUAGAACUACUGAAGGAUAUUAAUAUAGGGGAAAAUUAGUCUAUAGGAAUCCAAAAACCCAUCAAACAAGGCACUGGACAAAUGGGACUACAUCAAGUUAAAAGGUUUGAACAGAAAAGGAAAAAAUAGCUAACAGACUUGGACAGACUAUUUGUCAACCAUUAGUGGAAGAUGAAUAACUAGUAUAUGUAAGUAACUAAAAAUCUUAACAUUGAAACAAUAAUGCACAGAAAAAUAGUCAAAUGUGUUCAACACACAUUUCUAAAGAAACAGGCAGAGAGUACAGGAAACAAAAACUUUCAAAAUAUUAUUAAUCAUCAAAGAAAUGCAAGAGGAAACUGAAUGGAAAUUCAUUCUAUUUUCAGUCAGAAUGGCAAAUAAGAAAUAGAAAAAAGACAAUCC